This 550-nucleotide ribosomal RNA is filed under the name Celoporthe sp. CMW 10781. RNAcentral describes it as "eukaryotic LSU rRNA". It matches the Rfam family "Eukaryotic large subunit ribosomal RNA", at positions 56 to 629 of the family's 3401-position model. Lineage: Eukaryota; Fungi; Ascomycota; Sordariomycetes; Diaporthales; Cryphonectriaceae. The record is from RNAcentral.
GAAAAGAAACCAACAGGGAUUGCCCUAGUAACGGCGAGUGAAGCGGCAACAGCUCAAAUUUGAAAUCUGGCCUCGGCCCGAGUUGUAAUUUGCAGAGGAUGUUUCUGGCGCGGUGCCUUCCGAGUUCCCUGGAACGGGACGCCACAGAGGGUGAGAGCCCCGUAUGGUUGGACACCAAGCCUGUGUGAAACUCCUUCGACGAGUCGAGUAGUUUGGGAAUGCUGCUCAAAAUGGGAGGUAAAUCUCUUCUAAAGCUAAAUACCGGCCAGAGACCGAUAGCGCACAAGUAGAGUGAUCGAAAGAUGAAAAGCACCUUGAAAAGGGGGUUAAACAGUACGUGAAAUUGUUGAAAGGGAAGCGCUUGUGACCAGACUUGCGCCGGGCGGUUCAUCCGGGGUUCUCCCCGGUGCACUCCGCCCGGCUCAGGCCAGCAUCGGUUCUCGUUGGGGGAUAAGAACGACAGGAACGUGGCCCUCCUUCGGGUGGGUGUUAUAGCCUGUCGUACGAUACCCUGACGGGGACCGAGGUUCGCGCUCCGCAAGGAUGCUGG